GAAAAACCAGUCCCUGAUUCCCACCCCCACCCCCAUCCAGUUCCCUCCUUCUUUUGUUAAAGCUUUCUGUAGAGAGCAAUGACUGAGAGGAUCAAAGCAUCUACUUCCUUCCCUUUGAUGUGUGGUCUGAGACAGGCUCUGAUGUCAGCCACGUGUUGUAUUUCAUUAGACCUGAUAUUAAGCUUCCUAGAGGUCAGGACGACCAUGCUGCUUUAAGAACCAGGCUAUAAGAAGGCUCACUUUGCUGAAAAUAUCAGAGGUCUCAGCACCCCUUCAGACCCACUAGGAAAUUAUACAGCAACUAUGCUGUAAGAAGCCAAGUCAAAUGGAGAGGCUACAUGGAAGGAAUACUGAGGCCCUCCAGUCAACAGCCCUCACUGAAUUUCCAGGCAACAGCCUGCAUCAACUAACAGCUUUAUGGAUAAGCUGUCUUAGACACACCAGCUGGUCCAGUCCCCAGAUGACUGAAGCUCCAAACAUCAUUUAGAGGAGAAGAAUCACCCAGCCUAGCCCAGUCACCCUGCAGAAUCAUGAGAGUUAAUAAAAU
Molecule: long non-coding RNA, 547 nt
Filed under: Homo sapiens (human)
Lineage: Eukaryota; Metazoa; Chordata; Mammalia; Primates; Hominidae
Description: HSALNT0295001
Source: RNAcentral